AGGGUGAGCAGCCGGUACUAUCGUUGGUCCAAAAGGGGGACCAGUUCGCUUCGAUAUGGCUCAAACUGCCCGAUUUGGGAUGGUUCAUGUGAGGACCUGUGCGGAUGUGUUUUUAGUCCCAUAUUGGCGAUGCAUUGGGUAGAUCUUGGGCACUUAUAUAUAUCCGAAAAAUCUAAAAAAUAUCUUUCGGCUAGUCUUUUUGGGUGAGAUUUGGGGUUAUUACAACUAAGAUAUUAGAGCGGACACGUAGCUCGUGUCCCAUGUGGACUAGGAGACACUGCAGUAUGUGCCCAUUUGGACUGACCACAGGCUAAUCGUAGUGCUUGUGAUUGGAUUUCUGGUACUUGUUAUUAGAUUUGAGUGGAUUUGGACCCUUAGCCUGGUGAGGACACUGGGACUUAAACAAGAGGAGAAAGUGAGGAUUCGUGCGAACAUGUGUUAGUCCCACAUUAGCCAUGCACUGGGUAGAUGUUGGGUACUUAUACAGAAUCAAGAAACCCAGAUAAUAUCUUUCCGACUAGCCUCUUUGGGUGAGGUCCUAGUUUGUCAUAGUUUGACCAACCUUGGUACACACACUAGGAAUCUAUUUUUUGCCAUUUGUGGUCACAUGGUAUUUUAUCUUUUCUAUAGGGAUUUCUAAGAAGAAUAGAUUAAAAGCAUCUGGCUUUUUUGUUAACUUGAUCAAAUCAUGAAGAACUCUAUUAUUUUUGCCAUUUGUGGUCAUGUGGCAUUUUAUCUUUUCUAUAGGGAUUUCUAAUAUGAAUAGAGUAAGAGCAUCUGGCUUUGUUAACUUUGUCAGAUCACAAAGAGCAUUUAAAUUUCUUUUUGCAAGGAUUUCUAAAAUGGAUAGAGGGUGUUUAAGCUAUGAGAUGAUUUCCAUAACUACUUGCUCACAUGUUUUUUGAUAUUUUUUCUAGGGUAUCCACUUGAGUUAUUCUUUUGAUAUUUGAGUCCUUUUUACUAUCAACUUGAUAUGUAUUUCAUGUUUUCAGCGACAUUGAAAUGCUUUUUGCAACUCUACAGAGUUGCAACUGGCUAUUCUUGAGAGGGGGUUUCCUAUUUGAUGUCUUCAUACUAAUUGAAUUUUGACCGUCUUAUAUUCUUUAAUAACUGAUCUGUUGAAGCAAUCUUUUAUCAGGGUCUUAUUCAACUACUUUAAAUCAAGAUAGAUCUGGGUUUUUUCUGCAUGGUUAUUUUUGGCUUCUAGAAGAAUAUGGAGGAUGAUGGAUGUAUAUUUUUUCUCUCCUGGCUGUUUGGGUGGUGUAGUCUAUCUUAUUCUUUUAUAUGACCUGAUUAGUGGCAAUUUCCAAGUUUUCAUGUUCGUCAACAUACCUGCAGAGAUUGUGGAGGCUGGUGGUCUCUCUUGCUUUCCUAUCAACUUUUCUUUGCUCUAAUUUUUGAAACUUCUUCAGCUGUAAUGUUUUGAUAAUACCAUGUUAGGAGAUUCAUCAUAAUAGUAUGUAGUUCUAAUGUUGUUUGGGAUGCGAACCACUCUAGAGAGAAUCUGCUAGCUGAUUGCAUGGGCUGCUUGUACUCGAGGAGGUCUUAGAACUUUUUUUCUGCUCAUAUUGAUAACAUAGUUCUGCAAAUCCUUAACUGUGAUGUGUUGACCCUCUGUUAGAUGCAGAAUUUGAAACCUGAUGGCAGUCAUGAUUGUUUAAGAAAUUGCAUGACUGACGUGACAACGAGAGCAACAAGCAAGCAAAGCCAGAGCAUCUGAAGGACAAGUUCUGGUUUUAUGAAUAUGGCCCCAUAAUCGAUAAGUAAACACCCGAAGCUGAAUGGGCUGCUUGUACUCGAGGAGGUCUUAGAACUUUUUUUCUGCUCAUAUUGAUAACAUAGUUCUGCAAAUCCUUAACUGUGAUGUGUUGACCCUCUGUUAGAUGCAGAACUUGAAACCUGAUGGCAGUCAUGAUUGUUUAAGAAAUUGCAUGACUGACAUGACAACGAGAGCAACAAGCAAGCAAAGCCAGAGCAUCUGAAGGACAAGUUCAGAUUAUGGCCCCAUAAUCGAUAAGUAAACAACCGAAGCUGAAUGGAUGUUGCUUGUACUCGAGGAGGUCUUAGAACUUUUUUUCUGCUCAUAUUGAUAACAUAGUUCUGCAAAUCCUUAACUGUGAUGUGUUGACCCUCUGUUUGAUGCAGAACUUGAAACCUGAUGGCAGUCAUGAUUGUUUAAGAAAUUGCAUGACUGACAUGACAACGAGAGCAACAAGCAAGCAAAGCCAGAGCAUCUGAAGGACAAGUUCAGAAUAUGGCCCCAUAAUCGAUAAGUAAACAACCGAAGCUGAAUGGAUGUUGCUUGUAGGUGGCAUGACAUCCAAUUGAAUGUCCACAGUGAUGAUGGGAUUGCAAUAAGAUGCUGCUGUAGAAGUGUGUUCAAAAGGGGCUCCUAAAACUCUUGAAGGAACUGCCCAGAGGAGCCUAUGAUAUUGGUGCUGAUUCAUGAUAGUAAGGUUGUUGCUGCCCAUAUUAAAUGUUACUAAUAAAUAGUUUGCAGCAGCAGCUUAUAGAGUGGUUGUUCCUGUAGUUAGGUGGCUGGAAGCAUGCUCUUAGUAGAAAUAUGUUGGCCUCUAGUAAUUUCUAACCAACAUUCUGUGCAGUGUUUUGAAACCCGGUCGACCUGCCUGAGACUAGUCGCCUGCCAGCCUUUGCAGUGGAUUGGAUCAAUACCUGCAAAAUCUCAAAGCUCUUUCAACUUGACGACCCAAACUGUUCAACUGUUCAAACCAUAGGUUGAACUGGAUUUGGCCCAUCCAGUGUUGAUUGAAAAAGAAAGCAAGAAACCCUUUUGCCUCCCAUUGUAGGCAAAUCAUUGUCAUGGCCACAAGGUUAUCUUACGGCAUGGAUUGCGUUGUUGGGAUAAUGAUGAGGAAGCAUCAAUGGAAGAUUUGGUCUGUGAAUGGAAGAUUUGAGACAGCAAGGAUGGGUCUCACGAGGAUGAAGGGCAGUGGCUGGAUCUCAUGGAAUCAAGGGAAAUGAGGGCGGCAAUGCCAGAUUUGAGGCAGUGUGGCCAUAUCUCACAUGGAGAUAGUGUGGCCUUAUCUCAUGAUGGAGUGGAUGGGGGUGGGGUCAGUUGACAUGCGACCGACUUGCAGUUGAACUGGGAAAACCUGGCCUUAUCUCAUGAUGGAGUGGAUGGGGGUGGGGUCAGUUGACAUGUGACCGACUUGCAGUUGAACUGGGAAAACCUGGCCAUCGUAGUGGUUCGAGUCACCAGGUUUAGAAGACUUACGUCUUUUUUUUUUUUUAAAAUACUCCAGUAGCUAGUUGAGGCAAAUUGUUAAGAAAAUAGUCUAUGAAAUGCACUGUUGCUGGGUUGGAUAGACUUUUUACUUUUUAGGCAUUCUUUUGGUCAACGAGAGCUGAAAUUAAUUGAAAUUUUAGUUGGUACCGAUAUGAAAUUUGUGGAUUGUAGUUGGCACCAACCUUCUUCCAUGGCUAACUUGGCUUGUGCUAGGAGGUGCUGGCAGCUAGCUAGGCUCAAGAGCUAGUGCUUAGCUAUGAUUGUAAGCAUCAUGGUUACUUUGUGGGUCUUAUCCGGGCUGGGCGGAAGUUGACUGCCAAGCAAAUACUUCAACUAAUAAAACAACCAAGUUGUUGGUAGGCUGCAAAUAAUCAAUGCAUCGAAAAGAUUCAGUCACAAAUUUGGGUUCAGUUCAUGGUAGUAAGAGGAUCAGUGAGUUCAAGCUUCAGUUUGAGCACACAAACAGCUUUUUUCUUAACAUAAAUGUCUACCCGCAGGCGAUAAAGACUGGGAGCUGGAGUUGGAAUGCACAGAGAAUGAUGAGUAUUCAUGAUCAAAUCAACAUGCAACAAAUUUAUUGAACUGGAUCACAAGCAAGAGCACAAGGAUCAGAGCUAUUUAGUUCUAAUACCAUGUUAAGAAUCAGCCAAGCUACAUUAUUUGUUAUGGUAUUAAGAAAGGUUCAUAUAUACAUGGUGAUUCCAAUAAUAGGUGAUGAGCUGACCACCUAAAAGCUACAAGCGUACAAUUAUUAUCCACUUUGUUUAUCACCCAAGUGCUAGGAUAUAAAGAUGUUACAUUGACAUUUUCCUUCAGAUUCUUAUCAUUAAAUAGUCACUUUACUAUUGUGAAAGAAAUAGAGUAAAAUAGACUGCACAACAAGGAAAAUCUUAUCACCAAGUUAAAAACUGUGUUAUUCAAAGGCAUAUGUGUUAAAUUGUACAAAGCACGGGAUAAAUUGUACAAAACAAAUAUUACAGCAUAGACUUAUUUAUUCAACAAGUUGAUAUUUAUAUAUCUUCUAUAUAAAAUGGCAGGCUUUGGUGCAAUGAUAAGGUUGCUACAUUGUGACCUAGGUGUCAUGGGUUCAAGCAUGAAAACAGCCUCUCUCUCUGCACUCUAGGGUGAGUUUUCUGGUAGAUGUUAUCAGCAACCAUUCGGAUGCUAUGGAAGGACAUGUCUCCAUGUACAAGAUGCAAAUUAUCGAAUAUCAAACCUCAUAUCGAUGAAGGUUUGGUAUGGGAUACAUCAUGUUAGCAGAGGGUAUUGAUUGAUAUGCUUUGCAUGGUCAGAUGAGGCAAAGGACACCAACCGAAAUGAUGGAACUGGAUUGAUGGUUGAGUUGAGAGGGGCAGAUAAGGAGCGGCUGAUGGAACACCCAGCCGCUACAAAGGCUCUCUUCAAUCAAACGAGUGAAAUGUAGACAUCU
Phoenix dactylifera (date palm) is the source of this 4676-nucleotide non-coding RNA. The record is from RefSeq and is a predicted model, not a curated record. NCBI's taxonomy places the organism in Eukaryota, Viridiplantae, Streptophyta, Magnoliopsida, Arecales, Arecaceae.